RNAcentral lists this small RNA (451 nucleotides) under Xenorhabdus beddingii. RNAcentral describes it as "cspA". It matches the Rfam family "cspA thermoregulator". The record is from RNAcentral. Lineage: Bacteria; Pseudomonadati; Pseudomonadota; Gammaproteobacteria; Enterobacterales; Morganellaceae.
UUUGGCCUGAUUAACAGACCUACUUUAUGUACGACAUCUUGAGUUAAUGAGUUAUGUGUAAGUGCUAUCUCCGGUAGCCUUUGUUGACCGUUUCCUUCUUAGUGCCUCCAUAAGUAAUACUGAUACUGGCCAACACAUACAUGCCCGAGGUGGCGAGUUUUUUUUGAUAUAUAGGAAAGUCAAAUGACUGACAAAAUGAAAGGUCAAGUGAAGUGGUUCAACGAGUCUAAAGGCUUUGGUUUCAUCACUCCAGCUGAUGGUAGCAAAGACGUAUUCGUACAUUUCUCUGCCAUUCAAGGUAACGGUUUCAAAACUCUGGCAGAAGGCCAGAACGUAGAAUUCACCAUUGAAAAUGGUGCCAAAGGCCCAGCAGCAGCUAACGUAUCUGCUAUCUAAUUUAGCCUUUAUGCCUUAUUUAAGCUCGCCAGGUAAAAAUGCCGUGGCGGGCUUU